UGCCAGCAGCCGCGGUAAGACGUACCGGACGAACGUCAUUCGGAUUUACUGGGCUUAAAGAGUACGUAGGCGGUCCUUCAGGUGGGGUGUGAAAGCCCACGGCUCAACCGUGGAAUUGCGCUCCAAACCGGGGGACUUGAGGGAGACAGGGGUGAGCGGAACUGAUGGUGGAGCGGUGAAAUGCGUUGAUAUCAUCAGGAACACCGGUGGCGAAGGCGGCUUACUGGGCCGUCUCUGACGCUGAGGUGCGAAAGCUAGGGUAGCGAACGGGAUUAGAUA
Molecule: ribosomal RNA, 279 nt
Filed under: uncultured bacterium
Lineage: Bacteria
Description: partial 16S ribosomal RNA
Rfam family: Bacterial small subunit ribosomal RNA
Source: RNAcentral